GACAGAGGGUGCAAACGUUGUUCGGAAUUACUGGGCGUAAAGCGCGUGUAGGUGGCCAGGCAAGUCGGGUGUGAAAGCCCCGGGCUCAACCCGGGAAGUGCACUCGAAACUGCUUGGCUCGAGUGCCGGAGAGGGAAGCGGAAUUCUCGGUGUAGAGGUGAAAUUCGUAGAUAUCGAGAGGAACACCAGUGGCGAAGGCGGCUUCCUGGACGGCUACUGACGCUGAGACGCGAAAGCGUGGGGAGCAAACAGG
RNAcentral lists this ribosomal RNA (253 nucleotides) under uncultured bacterium. RNAcentral's name for it is "partial 16S ribosomal RNA". It matches the Rfam family "Bacterial small subunit ribosomal RNA", at positions 524 to 776 of the family's 1533-position model. RNAcentral also lists the same sequence under 1 other name. The record is from RNAcentral.